GACGAACGCUGGCGGCAUGCCUAACACAUGCAAGUCGAGCGAGUAGAUCCCUUCGGGGUGAAGCUAGCGGCGGACGGGUGAGUAACACGUGGGCAACCUGCUCAUAGAGGGGAAUAGCCUUCCGAAAGGAAGAUUAAUACCGCAUAAGAUUGUAGUACCGCAUGGUAUAGCAAUUAAAGGAGCAAUCCGCUAUGAGAUGGGCCCGCGGCGCAUUAGCUAGUUGGUGAGGUAACGGCUCACCAAGGCGACGAUGCGUAGCCGACCUGAGAGGGUGAUCGGGCACAUUGGGACUGGGCCACGGCCCAGACUCCUACGGGAGGCAGCAGUGGGGAAUAUUGCACAAUGGGGGAAACCCUGAUGCAGCAAUGCCGCGUGAGUGAUGACGGCCUUCGGGUUGUAAAGCUCUGUCUUCGGGGACGAUAAUGACGGUACCCGAGGAGGAAGCCACGGCUAACUACGUGCCAGCAGCCGCAGUAA
RNAcentral lists this ribosomal RNA (477 nucleotides) under uncultured bacterium. Its description in RNAcentral is "partial 16S ribosomal RNA". It matches the Rfam family "Bacterial small subunit ribosomal RNA", at positions 28 to 523 of the family's 1533-position model. The record is from RNAcentral.